UGAGGAAUAUUGGUCAAUGGGCGCAAGCCUGAACCAGCCAAGUAGCGUGCAGGACGACGGCCCUCCGAGUUGUAAACUGCUUUUAGUUGGGAAUAAAGUGCGGGACGCGUCCCGUUUUGUAUGUACCAUCAGAAAAAGGACCGGCUAAUUCCGUGCCAGCAGCCGCGGUAAUACGGAAGGUCCGGGCGUUAUCCGGAUUUAUUGGGUUUAAAGGGAGCGUAGGCCGAAGGUUAAGCGUGUUGUGAAAUGUAGUCGCUCAACGGGUGCACUGCAGCGCGAACUGGCUUUCUUGAGUGCGCGGAAAGUUGGCGGAAUUCGUUGUGUAGCGGUGAAAUGCUUAGAUAUGACGAAGAACUCCGAUUGCGAAGGCAGCUGACUGUAGCGUAACUGACGCUGAUGCUCGAAAGCGUGGGUAUCGAACAGGAUUAGAUACCCU
Molecule: ribosomal RNA, 436 nt
Filed under: uncultured Prevotella sp.
Lineage: Bacteria; Pseudomonadati; Bacteroidota; Bacteroidia; Bacteroidales; Prevotellaceae
Description: bacterial SSU rRNA
Rfam family: Bacterial small subunit ribosomal RNA
Source: RNAcentral